This 353-nucleotide long non-coding RNA is filed under the name Manihot esculenta (cassava). RNAcentral describes it as "long non-coding RNA (MESC_LNC008533)". The record is from RNAcentral. Lineage: Eukaryota; Viridiplantae; Streptophyta; Magnoliopsida; Malpighiales; Euphorbiaceae.
GCAUUUUUAAUUACCAGCACUUUUUAUCCUUGCCUGAAAAAAUCACCAACCUUUUUACGCGAUGGUGCAUAUGGGUGAUACACCCCCAGUUACUCAGUUGGUCACUUGUCCAAGUGGCUACUAGCUUUGUUCAUAAUAUUAGACCAUCGAAACUUUAUUUUUAUGCUUGAAAAAGUCACCAACCUUUUUACGCGACGGUGCACAUGGGUAAUACACCUCCGGUUACUCAGUUGGUCACUUGUCCAAGUGACUAUUAGCUCAGUUCAUAGCCUUAGAUCAUAGGAACAGGUUGUGUUUUGUGCUUUUUGAUUUGCUGAGUUUUUCUUUUUCUUUUUCCUUUUUAUAACAAUUUG